UAAUACGAAGGUCCCAAGCGUUAUCCGGAUUUAUUGGGUUUAAAGGGUGCGUAGGCGGACUAUUAAGUCAGUGGUGAAAUCUCCAUGCCUAACAUGGAAACUGCCAUUGAUACUGAUGGUCUUGAGUACACUUGAAGUGGGCGGAAUGUGUCAUGUAGUGGUGAAAUACUUAGAUAUGACACAGAACACCGAUUGCGAAGGCAGCUCACUAAAUUGUAACUGACGCUGAGGCACGAAAGCGCGGGGAGCAAACAGGAUUAGAUACCCUGGUAGUCCGCGCCCUAAACGAUGAUCACUCGAUGUGUGCGAUACACUGUACGCGUCCGAGCAAAAGCAUUAAGUGAUCCACCUGGGGAGUACGGCCGCAAGGCUG
This 373-nucleotide ribosomal RNA is filed under the name uncultured bacterium. RNAcentral describes it as "bacterial SSU rRNA". It matches the Rfam family "Bacterial small subunit ribosomal RNA", at positions 521 to 896 of the family's 1533-position model. The record is from RNAcentral.